GCCUUUGUUUUAUGGAUAGCUCAGUUGGUUAGAACGUGGUGCUGAUAACACCAAUGUCAUAGGUUCGAUCCCCAUAUGGGGCA
Podarcis lilfordi (Lilford's wall lizard) is the source of this 83-nucleotide non-coding RNA. The record is from the annotation of a GenBank genome assembly. NCBI's taxonomy places the organism in Eukaryota, Metazoa, Chordata, Lepidosauria, Squamata, Lacertidae.